UACGUAGGUGGCAAGCGUUGUCCGGAUUUAUUGGGUUUAAAGGGUGCGUAGGCGGCCCUGUAAGUCGGUGCUGAAAUACCCCGGCUUAACCGGGGGGGUGGCAUUGAUACUGCAGGGCUUGAGUACAGAUGAGGUAGGCGGAAUUGACGGUGUAGCGGUGAAAUGCAUAGAUAUCGUCAAGAACACCGAUAGCGAAGGCAGCUUACUGGGCUGUAACUGACGCUGAUGCACGAAAGUGUGGGGAUCAAACAGG
This 253-nucleotide ribosomal RNA is filed under the name uncultured bacterium. RNAcentral describes it as "partial 16S ribosomal RNA". It matches the Rfam family "Bacterial small subunit ribosomal RNA", at positions 524 to 776 of the family's 1533-position model. The record is from RNAcentral.